This 735-nucleotide unclassified non-coding RNA is filed under the name uncultured Bordetella sp. RNAcentral's name for it is "partial 16S-23S ribosomal RNA intergenic spacer". It matches the Rfam family "Bacterial small subunit ribosomal RNA", at positions 762 to 1499 of the family's 1533-position model. The record is from RNAcentral. Lineage: Bacteria; Pseudomonadati; Pseudomonadota; Betaproteobacteria; Burkholderiales; Alcaligenaceae.
UGGAUUUCAGUUACGUGUGCUAUUAGAUACCCUGGUAGUCCACGCCCUAAACGAUGUCAACUAGCUGUUGGGGCCUUCGGGCCUUGGUAGCGCAGCUAACGCGUGAAGUUGACCGCCUGGGAGUACGGUCGCAAGAUUAAAACUCAAAGGAAUUGACGGGGACCCGCACAAGCGGUGGAUGAUGUGGAUUAAUUCGAUGCAACGCGAAAAACCUUACCUACCCUUGACAUGUCUGGAAUCCCGAAGAGAUUUGGGAGUGCUCGCAAGAGAACCGGAACACAGGUGCUGCAUGGCUGUCGUCAGCUCGUGUCGUGAGAUGUUGGGUUAAGUCCCGCAACGAGCGCAACCCUUAUUAUUAGUUGCUACGAAAGGGCACUCUAAUGAGACUGCCGGUGACAAAACCGGAGGAAGGUGGGGAUGACGUCAAGUCCUCAUGGCCCUUAUGGGUAGGGCUUCACACGUCAUACAAUGGUCGGGACAGAGGGUCGCCAACCCGCGAGGGGGAGCCAAUCCCAGAAACCCGAUCGUAGUCGGAUCGCAGUCUGCAACUCGACUGCGUGAAGUCGGAAUCGCUAGUAAUCGCGGAUCAGCAUGUCGCGGUGAAUACGUUCCCGGGUCUUGUACACACCGUCCGUCACACCAUGGGAGUGGGUUUUACCGAAGUAGUUAGCCUAACCGUAAGGAGGGCGAUUACCACGGUAGGAUUCAUGACUGGGGUGAAGUCGUACAAGGUAG